This 252-nucleotide ribosomal RNA is filed under the name uncultured bacterium. RNAcentral describes it as "partial 16S ribosomal RNA". It matches the Rfam family "Bacterial small subunit ribosomal RNA", at positions 524 to 776 of the family's 1533-position model. The record is from RNAcentral.
UACGGAGGAUGCGAGCGUUAUCCGGAUUUAUUGGGUUUAAAGGGUGCGUAGGCGGAUUUUUAAGUCAGCGGUAAAAUGUCCGGGCCCAACCCGGGCCGGCCGUUGAAACUGGGGAUCUUGAGUGGGCGAGAAGUAUGCGGAAUGCGUGGUGUAGCGGUGAAAUGCAUAGAUAUCACGCAGAACUCCGAUUGCGAAGGCAGCAUACCGGCGCCCGACUGACGCUGAGGCACGAAAGCGUGGGGAUCGAACAGG